CCUUAGUCCGGCGUUCGUCGUCGUCGAGCGCGUUCCUCCGGGAUAUAUGCCACGAGUAUCGGAUCGGAGUGCUGAGGAAGGCGCGCCCUUGACCUGGCGGCAGGAGUCGGCGGAGGCGGUGUCCGCCGUGCUGCUGGGCUGGCCAUGGCCUUCCUUUGGCUCGUGCAGGAUUGUUGGUUCGGCUGGCCCCGGCUAUGUGGAAGACGGCCGAUGCGGCGGCCGUGGUGAUCCAGCACCCGCGCGCAUGGAGGCCUAGCGGCUAGCGCCUAUUCAGGCGACCCUAAUCGGCCUCCACGUCUCAGGUUGUGGAGGCGCUAGAUCGCUGAAGAUUCGCCCAGCUAGCCGGCGGUGGGCAGGCCCUCGUCUGCAGAUCGAGCAGAGGUGCAAGCGGCAGCCCUUUGCCCUGCUCUUUCAUGUUGUUCAUCUUUCAACAUCUCCGGAUUUCUCUCCGUCCGGGCAGCAGGCGCGGCGAUCAAUGGACGACUAUCAAGGAGUUUAACCCGUGUUAAGGAGUCGGAAGGCCAAGGGCUAACAACAACCAGGUUGUCAAUUAAUUUGUUCACAGCGCACUGCGCAGCCCCACGCCCGUUGCCUCCGUCCCACACUCCGGCAUUCCGCUGGAAUUAUGGGCUCGUCGCCUCCAACGGGCGGCUGGUGUCUUAUUUGGUGCUCUUGGUUUUUAGCCUAUGAUGCAGGAUCUACUCAUGCUGCUACCGGCGUCGUGGCAAGAAUAUCUGAUGGUGAGUUUGUGCUAGCUGCUGCAAGGGGAUACGACAAUAUUCAAAAUCCCCUGACAGCUGAAACACUCGCUUUUAGAGAUGCAAUUACUGAAGCAGUCAAAGAAGGAUGGCAGCAUGUCCAUUUUGAAACAGCUUGUCAAAUAGGUAGUGGAGAAGCUAAGGAAAAUGCUAGUAACUUAGUUCCCCUUAAAGGCGACUGGUAUUGUUUGGUUGUUCCUUCACCAUAUGAUGCUUGAUUUGUAUAACUUGAUUCUGUUUUACCAUAGCAUAAAGUACCAGGCCUAUGACAUACUUUCCUCUUUCUCAACUUUAAUCUUUCUGAUGUCCAUUUUUUAACAAAAUCCAUUGAGUCAUUGUAUAAAUAAACUGGCUUGAUAACUUAUUUAUAGAGACAAACGCUUGCCACGGGCGUUCUUUUGUUCA
Molecule: RNA transcript, 1163 nt
Organism: Triticum dicoccoides
Lineage: Eukaryota; Viridiplantae; Streptophyta; Magnoliopsida; Poales; Poaceae
Exons: 4
Source: RefSeq, a predicted model, not a curated record